GACCAUUUAAGCUCGAACCUCGGGAAAAGUUGGCCUCCACAGAAAAGAAUGCUUCCUUGGUUGCAGCACUUGAACAACAUGUGAGAAAACCCAGGAAAAGCUGUCCGACAGGCAUUUGGACUCUCACUUAAUGCUCAAGAUUUCGGUGAUUUCAGACAUUUAACCAACCAAUAUCUCCUACUUUUGACAACUUUGUCAAGAUCGGCCAGUUCCACUGUUCGAGCUCAUGGGAGAGAAGAGUACGAAACCAAAUCAACCGAUCUUUAAAAGUCGGGUCUCAAUCUGGUAUGCUGUUUACGUAUACUGUUCUUAUUUAGUACCACUGGGUAUAAGUAGAUAAAGUGGCUUGAUUUUCUCUUUCUUUUAAUCAAACUUGAUGUUGAACUUAUUUAGUACCACUGGGUAUAAGUAGAUAAAGUGGCUUGAUUUUCUUUUUCUUUUAAUCAAACUUGAUGUUGAACCGAAGUAUCGAUUCAAAGAGAACUUAGAAAUUGAUAUCAAAACUGGCUUUUAGAAAAUCUAGAACAGCAAAUCUAUAACUAUACCAUAUCAAUUAUUGUUUUUGGAUAUUCGUAAGGGUCUGAAAUAGUUUGCAUGCAUCCCGAUUGUUGUUACGAGACAAUCCACCAUACUCUGCUAUAUUUGUUGUAAGGAAACUCGUAAGAUAUUAAAUUCUAGAAAAGUGACUGGAUAGGACAUGGUGGUGGUGGGUGGUGCGCAUUAAAUGAGACUCGUCUCGUUAGGCUGUUCGUUUGAACGGUAAGUAAUUAUAACCAGACUCUCCCAAGACUCGUGACUAGGAAGUGCUUAUUGGAUGCUCUGUUGGAGCAGCUAUAUGUUUAUUGAUGGCGAAUUUUGAGUUGUUCUCCAUCAUGCUUGUUACGUGAGGCAAAGCAUCUUCAUACGGCUAUGCUUAAAGUCCAAGAUGAUAUUGCUGAAAAUUUAUUCCUACAAGAUGUGAUGGAGAUGGAGACAGAGACAUCUUAUCUUAAAGUAAGUUGAGAAUAAUAUUAUUAGGUAAUUCUUGACUUAAAAAAUUACUUUUCUUUUUCACUUUUAGUUGUUACAAAAGAAUAACCUUUGAUAAUUGUGUUAGAAUUUUUAGAAAAAUGAUGACUUGUCCAUUCUAGUUUGUUGAGUUAUAUGCUUGUA
Cucurbita moschata (crookneck pumpkin) is the source of this 1152-nucleotide long non-coding RNA. RefSeq lists it as uncharacterized. The record is from RefSeq and is a predicted model, not a curated record. NCBI's taxonomy places the organism in Eukaryota, Viridiplantae, Streptophyta, Magnoliopsida, Cucurbitales, Cucurbitaceae. The transcript has 3 exons.